This 465-nucleotide ribosomal RNA is filed under the name uncultured bacterium. RNAcentral describes it as "partial 16S ribosomal RNA". It matches the Rfam family "Bacterial small subunit ribosomal RNA", at positions 28 to 507 of the family's 1533-position model. The record is from RNAcentral.
GACGAACGCUGGCGGCGUGCUUAACACAUGCAAGUCGAACGGAAAGGCCCCUUUGGGGGUACUCGUGUGGCGCACGGGUGAGUAACACGUGUGUAACCUGCCCUUGUAUUCGGGAUUACUUCAGGAAACUGGGGCUUAUACCGGCUAGGAAUCCUUGCUGCAUGGUGGGGGUUGGUAAGCUUCGGCGGUUUUGGAUGGACUCGCGGCUUAUCAGCUUGUUGGUGGGGUAGUGGCUUACCAAGGCUUUGAUCGGUAGCCGGCCUGAGAGGGCGAGCGGCCACCUUGAGACUGAGGUACGGCCCAGACUCCUACGGGAGGCAGCAGUGGGGAAUAUUGAACAAUGGGCGGAAGCCGGAUGCAGCAACGCCGCGUGCGGGAUGACGGCCUUCGGGUUGUAAACCGCUUGCAUCAGGGGCGAAGCUUGUGGUGACGGUACCUGCAGAAGAAGCACCGGCUAACUACGUG